AAGAGAAAAAGUGUGGAAAUCAAGGGAAAUAAGUGAAAAAGGCAACGGCUAAUGCACGGCACACCACGGCACCAUUAGUCCACCAAACACCAGUCACCAGAUCUUUCUUCUUCACCAGAUCUUUCUUCUCUUUUUCAAUUUCUUUUUUCCCUUUCACUUCAGCAACUUUAGAUUGGGAGUGUUGAGCUGGUUUCUUCAGCAGCUUUGUCCAUUUUCACUGAAACAGAGGUGGGCUUUCUUGGAGAGUCAAGGGAGGGAUAUCAUAGGGUGUGGUUGGGGUGGGACGUAAGGUGGACAUUCUGGAAGGAGGACCGGGCUUUGAUGCUGAGUGCGGUUGUGGCUCUCUAUCAGGAGCUGCGACUUUUGGUUGUUGAAUGGUUUUAGGCAUUUGAAAUAUUGAGAUUACAUUUACUUUUGGAAUGGGCGAGUUUGUUUAUGGGAUCUGUACAGGGAAUGCUUGUUCUUAUGCACGCAACGGUCUAUUCUAUUUUGUUAAAAUAUUGAUGCUUUAGCCAUUUUUGGAGUACCCAUUUGAUGCAUUUGGAGUAAAUCUUUUUGCUUCUUGUUUUGAUC
Molecule: non-coding RNA, 573 nt
Organism: Theobroma cacao (cacao)
Lineage: Eukaryota; Viridiplantae; Streptophyta; Magnoliopsida; Malvales; Malvaceae
Source: RefSeq, a predicted model, not a curated record